GGUGUUCUUCCAGUCUGAGAUGGCAAACCAGGGGAAACAUCCAUUUGCUGAAGGAACCUGUGCAUAGCUAAUUUUUUCAGUCUAAUCUGUCAUGGUGACCCUUGGAAGUUUUUUUUAUUGUUAGACUACACAUAAACACGUACACACACUAUCAAGGUCAUUGUUUGUAGUUAGUUUUUACUAAAGAAAAAAAAAGAGCUCUCUUUUUUAGCAUAGGAACAAACACCUGGGUUUUUAAAGCUUUCUUUUCCCCUUCAAAAAGAGGUAACCACCUGCCCCAACACAUACUAUGGCUAUCCUCUUUGAGCCAAGUCUCCCCUUUUAUUUCAUUAUGUUUGUGUGGCUAUCCAGCUCCAGAAGCAGGACUGAGGCUCAAGCUACCAUUGUGGCAACAAGCAAGUAACUCUGAGGGUGCUACAAGUUUUGUCAAACAGCUCACUAACCAGAUUCUGAGGAAACAAUGCAUUGUUGUUCAGGUAUUAAACCUUGGUGUUGAAUUAAGAUUUGGGGUUUUUUAGUUUGUUUCUGCACAGCAGCACCACUGUUGGUGCUUAGAUGUUCUGACACAUUAGGCACAUAUGAGUUUUGAUGCACCUUGCUCUGCAUAAGCUUUCUUGUACCUAAAAAUGGUUGAAAUGUUGCACUGUGCUACCAAAACAUAUUUUAUGUAGUUAUCUAGCCCUUUUUGUUGAAAGACUGGUUCACGUUGGAAAUGUAACUGGAAAGUGUGCUUUCUCUGGGGACCUUUCGUAUCGCAUUACCUGAGGACUAAGAGAAAGGGCAAAAGAUAGUGACAAAAACCUGGAGAAAUUCUUACCUUAGCAGUUUUGUCCAGUUCCUAGCCCAUGCAGCAUGGAAAGCAUAGUAUCUGAAUUAGAGACCACAGCUGACGAUGGAUUAUAUUGUUGUACCAGACAUUUUGCUCCCUGACCCAGUUAGCUGAGCUGAACUCAAAAGUAUGAUGAUGGGGACAUUCAGGCUUAUCGCUUGCUGGGGGUCUUCAUGGCCAGCUGCCAUGGAUUUAGCUAUAUUUUUAUGGUUCUGCUCCUACCUACAGGGUUGUUUCCAAAAAGUAGUCAUGGGAGACACUGUUCAGUGCCAUGGGAGCUUUCCUGUAGUGUCCUGCAGGGUUCUGUCUUAUUUAAGAUCUCAGUGAAGCUGCUGGGAGUUGUCAUCAAUAUGUAGAUGACACCUCUCUCUCUCUCUCUCUCUCUCUCUCUCUCUCUCUCUCUCUCACACACACACACACACACACACACACACACCUGAAUCAAAGGAGGCAGCUGAGGUGCUAGACAAGUGUUUGUGGGGUGUGGUAGGCUGAGUGGGGGCCAAAAUUGAAAGUGAAUCCUGAAAAGAUAGAGAGGUGUUAUGAGUUCCAAGUUCUUGAAUCUAGGAGGUAGGAAAACUUCCACUUGUAGAUGGGAUUAUACUACUAGGAGCAGGUUCAUGGCUUGCAGGUCCUGCUGGAUUCAACAUUGUUACUGAAGGCCCGGGUGGCCUUUGCGGCUAGGGGUUUCAGCUAUGUUUGCUUCACCAUCUAGGGCCCCUUUUGGAUAGAGACUAUUUGACUACAGUAUUCUGUGCUCUGGUUGCUUCUGGAUCAUUGCAGUGAGUUCUACAUAGGGCUGCCCGUGAAGAUGACUUGGAAACUUCAGCUGGUCUAAAAUGCAGGAGCCAUUUUAUUCGCUGUAGUUGCCUUUGGAACUCAUAUAACCCCUGCUGUAAAACAGCUGCACUGGUUUCCAGUUUGUUUCUGGAUUCAGUUCAGGAUGCCCACACCAGUGUUUAGAGCCCAAAACACCUUAACCCCCAAAUAUCUGAGAGACAACCUCCUUCCCUACAUACCCUGUUGGGGGUUAAGAUCUUCAGAGAGUGCCCUACUGGUAGUUCCAUCAUCCAUGAAAGUUUGCGGGGAGUGACAUGAAAGAGAGCAUUCUCUGUGGUGGCCCCUAAGCUGUGAAAUUCCCUUCUCACAGAGAUGUUUCGUUUGGUGAAAGGUGAAGAUGCACCUCGUUGCCCUCACCUUUGACAGCUGAGACGUGUGUUUUCAGAACCCACCUGAUUCCUGUGGCUGCAUUUGGUUCUAACUGUUUUUAAUAUCAAAUUUUUAAUUUUUGUGAUUUGCUGGUGAAUAAGUCCUCCUCCUGAUCCCACAGAAGGCGCAAAGGAGAGCGUGGAAACCCAAUGCUUCUUCACUAAGGCUUGCCAUAUCUAAUUCAUGUAGUGCUAAAUUAUGGUUUAAUGUUUUGUGUGAAGACAACCAAUAGUUGCAAUCCUGUGCCGCAUUGAUGCAGAUUUGAUUAGUAACAUUAUUGCAAAUUUACCAGCAGCCUUCUGGCUCAUUACACUUUGCCGUUGUAGCCUUCUCUGCUGAACAAACAACUCUCUCUAGGUGAGCAAGGAGAUAAUUUAUACUUGUUAUGUAUCUCUGCCAUAGACUGAUGAUGGCAGUGGGGAUUUAGACCCUGGAGUUCUGCUAAGUGCUCAGACCAUCACUUCAGAGACCACCAGCAGCACUACCACUACCCAGAUUACAAAGACUGUGAAAGGUGGAAUUUCAGAAACACGAAUUGAAAAAGAAUUGUCAUCACAGGAGAUGCAGACAUUGAUCAUGAUCAAGUUCUGGUACAGGCCAUCAGAGAAGCAAAGGAGCAACACCCAGACAUGUCUGUGACCAAGGUGGUUGUCCACCAGGAGACUGAGAUUGCAGAAUAAAUAGCAAG
Molecule: non-coding RNA, 2726 nt
Organism: Podarcis muralis (Common wall lizard)
Lineage: Eukaryota; Metazoa; Chordata; Lepidosauria; Squamata; Lacertidae
Source: RefSeq, a predicted model, not a curated record